AUGUAUAGAGGCAUGAAGAUACCAGCAGUGGCUGCCCUUGCUUUUGUUGUUCUCACUGGAGUCUCACUAGCAAGUCCUGGUUACUGGGCACAUGAUUGUGAUGGGAACUACACAGUGCCCAGAAGCUACCAGAAGAGCUUGGAGCAGCUGUCUGCAGGGCUGCCCGAUGCGGUGUCCUCCUCCCCAGAUCUGUUUGACAAAAAGGUUCUCGGAUCCUGGGGGGGCAGGGUAUAUGGCCUGGGGCGUUGUCGUCCUGGUACAGAUGCAUCUACAUGCAAGGCAUGUCUCAAUGAAGCCUUCCAGGAUGCACGGGUCGUAUGCCCAUCGAGGAAGAGGGUGUACAUGUUCUACGAACUUUGUACCCUAGCUUUCAGCGACCAGGACAUUCUAUCUCACUCGACCUGGAACAAAGGUGUCAGUAAGGUCAAUGGUUCUCAGGUGCCUGCCCAGUGCAGCAAUGUAUUCAACAAGGCUGUCAAUGGAUUGAUCAUAUAUUUGGUGAAGAUGGCAGCUGAUUCCCCUCACAGGUUUGCCACGGGGCAAAAAAAGUUAACUGGAGAUGCUUGCACAUACAGCCUAUAUGGCCUUGCGGAGUGUUUGCCAAACAUGUCAGCUGCCAACUGUACUGACUGUUUAGAGAACUUGGCGGAUGUACCUCUUCUUCUUGGGUAUGAGAGCGAGUGGAGAUCUGCAGUGAUGUGCAGCUACAGGUUGGAGCCACGCCCCUUCUUUGACAUUGGUAAGGGCGGGUUAGCCACCCCCGCAGGAAAAAACGGGAAGAAGCAGGUUUGA
Molecule: ribosomal RNA, 792 nt
Filed under: Triticum aestivum (bread wheat)
Lineage: Eukaryota; Viridiplantae; Streptophyta; Magnoliopsida; Poales; Poaceae
Description: partial small subunit ribosomal RNA
Source: RNAcentral